AAAGCCGUAUUUUGUGGAUGCCUUAGGUUCAUAUGCACAAUGGGCGCUUUACGAUGCGAAACGUUGUAUCUGAGACAUCAUUCUGAUAGGUACAAAUCCCCACAGCGGUAAACCGCAAUAUUUUGACACGAGGAGAACUGAAACAUCUAAAUAUCCUCUAGGAAAAGAAAUCAACCGAGAUUCCGUUAGUAUUGGCGAAAGAACGCGGACAAGGCAUAUGAUUAUGAAAUUGAAAAACAUGUUGGAAUACAUAGACCAAAGAAGGUAAAAGUCCUGUAUUAUGCCUUUCAUAAUCAUCAAGAGUAGAACGUUAGACUGUUUGAAAAUAGGAGAACCACCUUCUAAGCCUACAUAUGCAUAUGAGACCGAUAGUGAACAAGUACUGUGAAGGAAAGGUGAAAAGAACCCUCUUGUAUAGGGAGUGAAAAGAUCUGAAACAAAAUACAUACAAUCAAUCGAUAUAUUAAAAAAAUGUAUCGGUGUACCUUUUGCAUAAUGGGUCAGCGACUAAAUGUGUGCAGCUUGCUUAAGCAACGAUGUGGAGGCAAAGCAAAAGCGAGUAGGUUUUCCUGCGUUUGUUGCAUGCAUUUGACCCGAAACUAAGUGAUCUCGUUUUGAGCAGGUUGAAGAAAGCGUAAAGUCUUUUGGAGGACCGAACCGACGUCUGUAGCAAUAGGCGCGGAUGACUUGAUACGAGGGGUGAAAGGCCAAUCAAACUUAGAAAUAGCUGGUUCUUCGCGAAAUUUAUUGAGGUAAAGCGUCUAUUAAAUCUUUCUGGGGGUAGAGCACUUAUUGAGCUAUGGGGGUCCAAAACCUUACUGCUCUCAAGAAAACUCCGAAUACCAGUAAAGUAUAAUAGGCAGACAGACAAGCGGUGCUAAGGUCGCUUGUCGAAAGGGAAACAGCCCAGCCUGGCCGCUAAGGUCCCAAAGCAUUCUGUGAGUGGGAAAAGAUGUGAUACAACUAUGACAACUAGGAGGUUGGCUUGGAAGCAGCCAUUCUAUCAUGAAAGCGUAAUAGCUCACUAGUCGAGUUGUGUUGCGCUGAAAAUGUAUCGGGGCUGAACAGAAUCACCGAAGCGCCAGUUUUUAAGUAGCGAAGCGUUUUGUGCGCCAAUGAACAUACAUCGUAAGAUUUGUGGAAGGUCUCAAAAGUGACUAUGCUGACAUGAGUAACGAAAAAUCAUGUAAAGCCAUGAUCGCCGUAAGUCCAAGGGUUUCUGCUAACUGGGAAUCAGUGCAGAGUUAAGUUCGGUCCCUAAGAGUUUGUAUACACUUAUACGCUCGAUGGAGGACGUUUAUGCAAGACGGCUAUUAUACACAAAUACUGCAAAUUGGAUACGGUGUAUGUGUGUUGUAGUCCAGGAAAAAAGCAUUAAUGCAAGACCGUACCCGAAACCGACACAGGUGGACGAGUCGAGUAGACUCAGGCGUUGAGUGAACCAUAUUGAAGGAACUCGGCAAAAUAAUCCCGUAACUUAGGAAGAAGGGAUACCGAAAGGUGACACAAAAAUGGGGGUGACGACUUUUUACUAAAAAAUUAGGACUCUGCAAAAUGGUAACAUGNNNNNNNNNNNNNNNNNNNNNNNNNNNNNNNNNNNNNNNNNNNNNNAUGAAAGACGUAACGAUUGCCCCACUGUCUCCAGUAUGGACUCAGUGAAAUUGAAUUCUCCGUGCAGAUGCGGAGUACGUGCCCCAAGACGAGAAGACCCUGUGCAUCUUUACUGUACAUUUGCAUUGACAAAACGAUGAGCAUGCGUAGGAUAGGUGGGAGUACAUACAUCCUUGAAAUACCACCCUUGCCAUGGGUUUUGUCUUACACCAAAUUUGGUGCACAAUGCAUGUGAGGCAGUUUGACUGGGGCGGUCGCCUCCUAAAAGGUAACGGAGGCGUGCGAAGGUAAACUCAAUGCAAGACGGAAACUUGCUGAAGAGCGUAAUGGUAUAUGUUUGCCUGACUGUAAGAUGUACACAUCAAACAGAGACGAAAGUCGGCCAUAAUGAUCCACAAGUGCCGUGUGGAAGGGCUUGUGCUUAACGAAUCAAAGAUACGCCAGGGAUAACAGGCUGAUAAUUCCCAAGAGUCCUUAUCGACGGAAUUGUUUGGCACCUCGAUGUUGACUGAUCAUAUCCUGGGGCUGAAGAAGGUCCCAAGGGUUCGGCUGUUCGCCGAAUAAAAUGGUACCUGAGUUGAGUUUAGAACGUCGUGAGACAGUUUGGAUUCUACCUGGGGUGCGCGUAAAAGAAUUGUGAAAACCACGUCCUUGUACGAGAGGACCGGACGUGUACAACCACUGGUCGAGUAAUUGUUUUGCCGAAAGCAUUGUUACCAGGCUACGUUGUGAAAGGAAAAGAACUGAAAGCAUCUCAAGUUCGAAACUUUUUUCGAGACAAAUUCUUUAAGAUGUCGUGAAAGACUAUCACGUUAAUAGCCGAGCUGUCUAUACCAUGAAAAUGAGUAAUGCAUGCUCGGACUAAUCUUUUUUAUUUAAUAAA
This 2494-nucleotide ribosomal RNA is filed under the name Bacteroidetes bacterium UBA4009. RNAcentral describes it as "bacterial LSU rRNA". It matches the Rfam family "Bacterial large subunit ribosomal RNA". Lineage: Bacteria; Pseudomonadati; Bacteroidota. The record is from RNAcentral.